Molecule: ribosomal RNA, 494 nt
Filed under: uncultured bacterium
Lineage: Bacteria
Description: partial 16S ribosomal RNA
Rfam family: Bacterial small subunit ribosomal RNA
Source: RNAcentral
AUGAACGCUGGCGGCGUGCCUAAUACAUGCAAGUCGAGCGAACAGACGAGGAGCUUGCUCCUCUGACGUUAGCGGCGGACGGGUGAGUAACACGUGGAUAACCUACCUAUAAGACUGGGAUAACUUCGGGAAACCGGAGCUAAUACCGGAUAAUAUAUUGAACCGCAUGGUUCAAUAGUGAAAGACGGUUUUGCUGUCACUUAUAGAUGGAUCCGCGCCGCAUUAGCUAGUUGGUAAGGUAACGGCUUACCAAGGCAACGAUGCGUAGCCGACCUGAGAGGGGUAGCGGGCCUACGGGAACGAGCAGCCGGACCGGGACUGUACGGGAGGCAGCAGUAGUGAGUCAGCCAGAAGUGGCGAAUGCUGCACGGUGCACGGACGCGUGAGGGAGCAAGGUCGUGUGAGGGUAAACCGCUUUUAUUUGGUAAAAACAAUUGGGUAGGUAACUAGGGUGGUCUUGACGGAUCGGAAUAAGAAAGCCACGGCAAACCACG